Molecule: ribosomal RNA, 263 nt
Filed under: uncultured bacterium
Lineage: Bacteria
Description: partial 16S ribosomal RNA
Rfam family: Bacterial small subunit ribosomal RNA
Source: RNAcentral
GUCCACACCGUAAACGUUGGGCGCUAGGUGUGGGGCCUAUUCCAUGGGUUCCGUGCCGCAGCUAACGCAUUAAGCGCCCCGCCUGGGGGAGUACGGCCGCAAGGCUAAAAACUCAAAGGAAUUGACGGGGGCCCGCACAAGCGGCGGAGCAUGCGGAUUAAUUCGAUGCAACGCGAAGAACCUUACCUGGGUUUGACAUACACCGGAAAGCUGCAGAGAUGUAGCCCCUUUUAGUCGGUGUACAGGUGGUGCAUGGCUGUCGU